Salmo salar (Atlantic salmon) is the source of this 2429-nucleotide non-coding RNA. The record is from RefSeq and is a predicted model, not a curated record. NCBI's taxonomy places the organism in Eukaryota, Metazoa, Chordata, Actinopteri, Salmoniformes, Salmonidae.
GACCUAGAGAUAAGGGAUGUAGGUUCAGGUGACCUAGAGUUAAGGGAUGUAGGGUCAGGUUCAGGUGACCUAGAGAUAAGGGAUGUAGGUUCAGGUGACCUAGAGGUAAGGGAUGUAGGGUCAGGUUCAGGUGACCUAGAGAUAAGGGAUGUAGGUUCAGGUGACCUAGAGGUAAGGGAUGUAGGGUCAGGUUCAGGUGACCUAGAGAUAAGGGAUGUAGGUUCAGGUGACCUAGAGGUAAGGGAUGUAGGGUCAGGUUCAGGUGACCUAGAGAUAAGGGAUGUAGGUUCAGGUGACCUAGAGAUAAGGGAUGUAGGGUCAGGUUCAGGUGACCUAGAGAUAAGGGAUGUAGGUUCAGGUGACCAAGAGAUAAGGGAUGUAGGUUCAGCUGACCUAGAGAUAAGGGAUGUAAGUUCAGGUGACCUAGAGUUAAGGGAUGUAGGGUCAGGUUCAGGUGACCUAGAGAUAAGGGAUGUAGGUUCAGGUGACCUAGAGGUAAGGGAUGUAGGGUCAGGUUCAGGUGACCUAGAGAUAAGGGAUGUAGGUUCAGGUGACCUAGAGGUAAGGGAUGUAGGGUCAGGUUCAGGUGACCUAGAGAUAAGGGAUGUAGGUUCAGGUGACCUAGAGGUAAGGGAUGUAGGGUCAGGUUCAGGUGACCUAGAGAUAAGGGAUGUAGGUUCAGGUGAUCUAGAGAUAAGGGAUGUAGGUUCAGUUGACCGAGAGAUAAGGGAUGUAGGUUCAGGUGACCUAGAGAUAAGGGAUGUAGGGUCAGGUUCAGGUGAUCUAGAGAUAAGGGAUGUAGGUUCAGUUGACCUAGAGAUAAGGGAUGUAGGUUCAGGUGACCUAGAGAUAAGGGAUGUAGGGUCAGGUUCAGGUGACCUAGAGAUAAGGGAUGUAGGGUCAGGGUCAGGUGACCUAGAGAUAAGGGAUGUAGGUUCAGGUUCAGGUGACCUAGAGAUAAGGGAUGUAGGGUCAGGGUCAGGUGACCUAGAGAUAAGGGAUGUAGGUUCAGGUUCAGGUGACCUAGAGAUAAGGGAUGUAGGGUCAGGGUCAGGUGACCUAGAGAUAAGGGAUGUAGGUUCAGGUGACCUAGAGAUAAGGGAUGUAGGGUCAGGUUCAGGUGACCUAGAGAUAAGGGAUGUAGGUUCAGGUGACCUAGAGAUAAGGGAUGUAGGGUCAGGUUCAGGUGACCUAGAGAUAAGGGAUGUAGGGUCAGGUUCAGGUGACCUAGAGAUAAGGGAUGUAGGGUCAGGUUCAGGUGACCUAGAGGUAAGGGAUGUAGGGUCAGGUUCAGGUGACCUAGAGGUAAGGGAUGUAGGGUCAGGUUCAGGUGACCUAGAGAUAAGGGAUGUAGGUUCAGGUGACCUAGAGAUAAGGGAUGUAGGGUCAGGUUCAGGUGACCUAGAGAUAAGGGAUGUAGGUUCAGGUGACCUAGAGAUAAGGGAUGUAGGGUCAGGUUCAGGUGACCUAGAGAUAAGGGAUGUAGGUUCAGGUGACCUAGAGGUAAGGGAUGUAGGGUCAGGUUCAGGUGACCUAGAGAUAAGGGAUGUAGGUUCAGGUGACCUAGAGGUAAGGGAUGUAGGGUCAGGUUCAGGUGACCUAGAGAUAAGGGAUGUAGGUUCAGGUGACCUAGAGAUAAGGGAUGUAGGGUCAGGUUCAGGUGACCUAGAGAUAAGGGAUGUAGGUUCAGGUGACCAAGAGAUAAGGGAUGUAGGUUCAGCUGACCUAGAGAUAAGGGAUGUAGGUUCAGGUGACCUAGAGUUAAGGGAUGUAGGGUCAGGUUCAGGUGACCUAGAGAUAAGGGAUGUAGGUUCAGGUGACCUAGAGGUAAGGGAUGUAGGGUCAGGUUCAGGUGACCUAGAGAUAAGGGAUGUAGGUUCAGGUGACCUAGAGGUAAGGGAUGUAGGGUCAGGUGACCUAGAGAUAAGGGAUGUAGGUUCAGGUGACCUAGAGUUAAGGGAUGUAGGGUCAGGUUCAGGUGACCUAGAGAUAAGGGAUGUAGGUUCAGGUGACCUAGAGGUAAGGGAUGUAGGGUCAGGUUCAGGUGACCUAGAGAUAAGGGAUGUAGGUUCAGGUGAUCUAGAGAUAAGGGAUGUAGGUUCAGUUGACCGAGAGAUAAGGGAUGUAGGUUCAGGUGACCUAGAGAUAAGGGAUGUAGGGUCAGGUUCAGGUGAUCUAGAGAUAAGGGAUGUAGGUUCAGUUGACCUAGAGAUAAGGGAUGUAGGUUCAGGUGACCUAGAGAUAAGGGAUGUAGGGUCAGGUUCAGGUGACCUAGAGAUAAGGGAUGUAGGGUCAGGGUCAGGUGACCUAGAGAUAAGGGAUGUAGGUUCAGGUUCAGGUGACCUAGAGAUAAGGGAUGUAGGGUCAGGGUCAGGUGACCUAGAGAUAAGGGAUGUAGGUUCAGGUUCAGGUGACCUAGAGAUAAGGGA